RNAcentral lists this transfer RNA (92 nucleotides) under bioreactor metagenome. Its description in RNAcentral is "tRNA-Lys". The record is from RNAcentral.
AGCUCAGAUGGUAGAGCAACGAAUCACUUUUCGCUUUUGGCAAAAAAAGUUCCUAAAUAAGUGUGUCACAGGUUCGAGUCCUGUCUGCGUCU